AGUGCGAGCGACCCCGGGCCGGCUGCGUGGAGCUGGCGCUGCCUCUCCUGAAGCCGAGGCGCUAACUUGAGUGAAGAGGUCUAUAGGCUUUUUCACUUUUGGUUAUCUGCUCAGGCGCUCCUUGGGGUCGCGCAUGGUCUCGGACAGGGUUUGCAAGGACUUCGGAGCUAACCAGUUUGGAGCCAUAACCCUUUCGUACUUGCCAAAAAACUCUGGGCAAGACUCUUGAAUUUUGAGCCGCAGUAUUCUCGUUCAUAAGGAAUGUUUAUUCCCAUGAAGCAUGGAUAUUUAAUUGGUGGUGAAGCUACUCGAAUGUGUACCUUGGAAAGAAAUCAUUGCACACAAGGUUUUUAAGACUAUGCAAAAUUCUUUCAUUGUGCAAAUACAAUACAAAAUUGUUUUGCAGAAUAUUCAGUAACAACAUAUGGGUAAUAA
This 435-nucleotide long non-coding RNA is filed under the name Homo sapiens (human). RNAcentral's name for it is "HSALNT0072569". Lineage: Eukaryota; Metazoa; Chordata; Mammalia; Primates; Hominidae. The record is from RNAcentral.